Long non-coding RNA from Triticum aestivum (bread wheat), 988 nucleotides. RefSeq lists it as uncharacterized. Lineage: Eukaryota; Viridiplantae; Streptophyta; Magnoliopsida; Poales; Poaceae. The record is from RefSeq and is a predicted model, not a curated record. The transcript is spliced from 6 exons.
CUAAGCCCAGCCUAGCCGCUCGAUUGCCCCGUAAUUCACGGAGUAGUUGGACCUUGCACGAGGGAAUGGAUUUAAUUGAUGGAGUCCAGCUGAUAAAGGACGUGAACAGGAUGUCCUAUCGCUGGAUGUUUACUGUCCGAAUUGCAAGGAUCUGGGAAUACAUGAGUACAGACCCUAUCGAAUUCUAUAGCUCUAUUCAUUGGCACACCAGUUGAUCAAUUUUGAGAUGGCACAUCAACAUUAUGUACCUGAAGCGAUCGCUACAGAAGAAAGACCUAGCAAGCGAUAACGGCGCCACGAGGAUUCGCUGCCAUGAGGAGGACCCCGACCUGUAUGAUGGCCACCGGAAGGUCACACACUUCUUUGGCUCGCUGCUCGCUCAGAUGGCUCCAUUGACGACUUCUCUAAGGUGUAUUUGUUGGGUUCCUCUUGGCGUGUUGAACAAAAAUUGGCGUUCAGCACUGCUAUUUAAAGAUGGUUUGAUCAGUACUAGGGAAAACCCAUAGAUGGAAGGAAAUUAUUGUAGGUAUCUAAGAAUGCUGAUGAUUACACUCGGAGCAAGCCUUGUCGCGGCGCUGCAAGUGUUCCCCCCUCCUCCCCAAGGGCAAGGUGAAGGAAGGUGCCUGUGUGGUUCUUCUGCAGCUUGCAGCGAGGAUUGCUGUGUCAACCUACACAAGAAUGCCAAGAAGUCCUUCUCGGAGACGUAAGCCACGGCGCAUGUUUCUGCCAUGAUUUCCUUUGGUUGUAUUUCGUGGAUUUAGGUGUUAAAAAAUUAUGGGUUGUGGAUGCAGGAUUAAGGACAUGUACCUGCACUACAACGAGAGAUCUGGGCUGCUUAUUUGUGGCUUCCAAACUUGAAAUGUUUGUUAGGAAGUUAGUUUAAUUUUUUGUUGUGGAUUCACAGCUUCUCACACGUACCAUCCUCUUAGACCUUUAUAUUUCCAAAUAAACUAAAUGAAGAUAUGAUGGUGUGAUCUCAAUAGUACAA